UAGCUCGAGUUUCUCUUCAUUGUCGCAUAAAUCUUUCGCCUUUCACUAAAGAUUUCCGUGGAGGGGAACUUUUUUGCGAGUGACCUGUAUAAUAUUUUUAGGGGAAGUCAUGGCCUA
RNAcentral lists this small nuclear RNA (117 nucleotides) under Sinocyclocheilus grahami. Its description in RNAcentral is "U5 spliceosomal RNA (ENSSGRG00000017563.1)". It matches the Rfam family "U5 spliceosomal RNA". From Rfam's summary of the family: U5 RNA is a component of both types of known spliceosome. The record is from RNAcentral. Lineage: Eukaryota; Metazoa; Chordata; Actinopteri; Cypriniformes; Cyprinidae.